GUACAUUUAUUUGACAGACCGGAAGCAGUUACUGUCUUCUGUAAGGUUUCCAGUACAGAAGCAAGAAAAGGGUAUCCUGGUGCUUCCUAUCUGUCUCUUCAGACAGUCAAGACCAAAUCCAGGAAUAGAGAG
Molecule: small nucleolar RNA, 132 nt
Filed under: Fukomys damarensis (Damara mole-rat)
Lineage: Eukaryota; Metazoa; Chordata; Mammalia; Rodentia; Bathyergidae
Description: Small nucleolar RNA SNORA31 (ENSFDAG00000014611.1)
Source: RNAcentral